This 467-nucleotide ribosomal RNA is filed under the name uncultured bacterium. RNAcentral describes it as "partial 16S ribosomal RNA". It matches the Rfam family "Bacterial small subunit ribosomal RNA", at positions 28 to 507 of the family's 1533-position model. The record is from RNAcentral.
GACGAACGCUGGCGGCGUGCUUAACACAUGCAAGUCGAACGGAAAGGCCUCUUUCGGGGGGUACUCGAGUGGCGAACGGGUGAGUAACACGUGAGUAACCUGCCCUUUACUUUGGGAUAACUUCAGGAAACUGGGGCUAAUACCGGAUAGGAGCUCCUGCUGCAUGGUGGGGGUUGGAAAUUUUCGGCGGUUGGGGAUGGACUCGCGGCUUAUCAGCUUGUUGGUGGGGUAGUGGCUUACCAAGGCUUUGACGGGUAGCCGGCCUGAGAGGGUGACCGGCCACAUUGGGACUGAGAUACGGCCCAGACUCCUACGGGAGGAAGCAGUGGGGAAUAUUGCACAAUGGGUGGAAGCCUGAUGCAGCAACGCCGUGUGCGGGAUGACGGCCUUCGGGUUGUAAAACGCUUUCGCUCAUGACGAAGCUUUGUGUGACGGUAGUGGGUAAAGAAGCACCGGCUAACUACGUG